UUUGUACUUCAUUAGGUGCUCUGGUGUAAACGAGAUUCCAGGCAUCUAAGGGAGUGCAAAUG
RNAcentral lists this microRNA precursor (62 nucleotides) under Parasteatoda tepidariorum (common house spider). Its description in RNAcentral is "microRNA pte-mir-305 precursor". Its record names the gene pte-mir-305. Lineage: Eukaryota; Metazoa; Arthropoda; Arachnida; Araneae; Theridiidae. The record is from miRBase by way of RNAcentral.